CCUUCCAACUGACCCUCCGGCUCUAUUCCAGGCUCUCUGGAGAUCACCCCUGUUGUUAGCAUGGCCUUCCUUCCAAGGACGUCGCGCUCAGGAGAGAGUGGCAGCUGGUACAGUGCAAACAGAAGCCAAUGCCACCCUGCUCCCAAGGAGGAGACGCACAAGCAGACAGGGGCCUUGGAUUCUGCUCUGGGCAGUAAGAAGCCAUGAAAGAUGCUGAAGACUCCAGUUGCAGUGUGGAGGGCAGACUAGGGUGGAAAUGGGAAGUGCGGAGACACUGGCCUUCUCAAGGCCACGGGACUUUCCUAGGUGAGUAGCGACAGGAGUUUGGGCUGGCGGAAUGUAAAAAAGGAAAUGAAUUUCAGAGACAGCUUUUUCAGAUGUUACAUUGGGUGAUUUUACCUUGUGACCACAGAUUCUUUGACAUUUUUCCCAUCAAAAAAUAGACUUUAAUUCCCCCACCUCUAUGGGCUGGCUUUAGUGACUUGCUUGUGAUGAAUAAAAUGUGGGUUGAGUGAUGCUAUGUGACUACUAAGGCUAGAUUAGAAAAGGUGGUACUGCUUCCAGUUGGCUCUCCCUUGGUACCCAGCCAUCAUGCUGUAAGGAAGUCUGGGCAAGAGAAGAGCUCACAUAUACGUGUUCUGGCUGACCACUCUUCUGAGGUCUCAGGCGACAGCUAACCUCAAGUCUAGAGUUGACCAUGAAGAGGUUUUCAAGAUGACUGCAAUUGCAUGAGAUUCUGAGGACUCCCUGUCAAUCUCCAGAACUGUGAUUUGUGCCAUUAAGUUUGGGUGGUUUGUUGGCAGCAAGAAAAUAGCACCCUUCACUAUUAAGAAGACUUUUCAGAAGAGCUUAAAAAAUUCCCAACAUCCAGGCUAGAUCCAAGCUUUAAUAUUCUUCUGAGCCCCAACAUGCAGUCAUGGUUGAGAAGCACUACUGUAAACCAACCCCAAGGCUUGAACUGGGUUAAUUCCGUGCAUUGCCCCUCAUUCCCCCUCUUCCCCUUACACAACUCCUUUUCCUUGUCACUGGUUUCCAUCUUCAGUUCCUGGUAGAUAAAAGUGAUCCAUUUAAGCAACUGGAACGAGAUGUUUAUUUUUAAAGCAGCAAAGGAGAAUGGAUAUGUGAGGGAAGCAGGGAAGGUCCCAGGGGUAGAAGUGUGAAUAAGGUUGCUAGAUAAAAUACAGGAGGACAAGGUAAUUUGAAUUUCAGAUAAACAAUGAAGAUUUUUAAGUAUGAUCCAAAUAUUACAUGCAUGCAUGAGAUGCUCCAAUUAUUGUAUAGACAUACUAAAAAUUAUAUAUUGUUUAUCUGAAAUUCAAAUUUAACCAUGUUUCCAUGUUUCUAUUUGAUAAAUCUGGCAACCCUAGGUGUGAAGCCAGAUUAAGGUAUCUUUAGGCCUCAAUAGAGGAGGGACAUCUAUAGACUCCUGAGUCCUCCAAUGCCAGGGUAAAAAGCACUCAGAAAUC
Molecule: long non-coding RNA, 1466 nt
Filed under: Capra hircus (goat)
Lineage: Eukaryota; Metazoa; Chordata; Mammalia; Artiodactyla; Bovidae
Description: lncRNA (ENSCHIG00010015606.1)
Source: RNAcentral